This 253-nucleotide ribosomal RNA is filed under the name uncultured bacterium. Its description in RNAcentral is "partial 16S ribosomal RNA". It matches the Rfam family "Bacterial small subunit ribosomal RNA", at positions 524 to 776 of the family's 1533-position model. The record is from RNAcentral.
UACGUAGGGUGCAAGCGUUGUCCGGAAUUAUUGGGCGUAAAGAGCUCGUAGGCGGUCUGUCGCGUCGGCUGUGAAAUCCCGAGGCUCAACCUCGGGUCUGCAGUCGAUACGGGCAAACUAGAGUAUUGCAGGGGAGACUGGAAUUCCUGGUGUAGCGGUGAAAUGCGCAGAUAUCAGGAGGAACACCGGUGGCGAAGGCGGGUCUCUGGGCAAUAACUGACGCUGAGGAGCGAAAGCGUGGGGGGCGAACAGG